This 433-nucleotide long non-coding RNA is filed under the name Gallus gallus (chicken). RNAcentral's name for it is "long non-coding RNA NONGGAT009056". Lineage: Eukaryota; Metazoa; Chordata; Aves; Galliformes; Phasianidae. The record is from RNAcentral.
GGAAGGGAAGGGACGGCAGGGGGGCCGGGAGCGGGGCCGGUGUCAGCGCCGGGGCAGGGCGCGCUCGUGCCAGCGCAGCGCUCAGCGCCGCCUGCGCCCUGCCAGCACCGCCCCGUGGCUGCGCACCCUCGCCCCGUGAGUCAGAGGCGCUGUGGGAGCUCCGUGCAGCCUUAUCUCGCGUCCCUUUUGUGGCCCGGCGCUGUGUGCGGCUCUGCGCGGCGGGGAGGCGGUGGCAGUGAGACACGCUGCACCCGCACCAUGCUGCGCUUCCUCUGGGACAGCAUCUCCCUGCAGAUGCUCUUCGUCUUCCUCCUUGUCUUCCUGCUUGUCUCGGACUACAUGAAGAAGAGAAAGCCGAAGGACUUCCCCCCCGGUCCUUUUUCCUUCCCUUUCCUGGGAAACAUGGAAUUUAUCAUUGCGAAAGACCCCGUGG